RNAcentral lists this ribosomal RNA (327 nucleotides) under uncultured eukaryote. RNAcentral's name for it is "partial 18S ribosomal RNA". It matches the Rfam family "Eukaryotic small subunit ribosomal RNA", at positions 1470 to 1796 of the family's 1831-position model. The record is from RNAcentral.
CCCUUAGAUGUUCUGGGCCGCACGCGCGCUACACUGACGGAUUCAACGAGCUUACAACCUUGGCCGAAAGGUCUGGGUAAUCUUCAAAAUCCGUCGUGAUGGGGAUAGAUUAUUGCAAUUAUUAAUCUUCAACGAGGAAUGCCUAGUAAGCGCAAGUCAUCAGCUUGCGUUGAUUACGUCCCCGCCCUUUGUACACACCGCCCGUCGCUCCUACCGAUUGAAUGGUCCGGUGAAGCGUUUGGACUAUGGUUUUCUGAUGGUCCGCCGUUGGAUUACCGUGGGAAGUUCGUUAAACCUUAUCAUUUAGAGGAAGGAGAAGUCGUAACA